Molecule: long non-coding RNA, 328 nt
Filed under: Elaeis guineensis (African oil palm)
Lineage: Eukaryota; Viridiplantae; Streptophyta; Magnoliopsida; Arecales; Arecaceae
Description: long non-coding RNA (EGUI_LNC040398)
Source: RNAcentral
UAAUACCACAUGUUAGGACCACCAUCAGGCUGUUAAAAAGGAAAGAUUGGCCCAAUCAAAUCUCCCAAAAUCUAAGGCAAUUCCCUUCAAUCUUAAGCAUGUGAGCUAAAGUUGCGUAUUAACACCUAUAACUAAUAACCUGCGAUCCUUGAGCUCGUGAGGAUUGAUUCUCCACUUGCAUUACCAAAUUUGGAUGUAACACAUGACUACUCUCCUCUAUAAAGGAGAACAAAGGGGACUCUUAGGUAAGUUCUUUUUCAAGAGAAAUAAGAGCACACACUCUCUCCAAUUUCCUUUCUUCUACUAUUCUCAAGCUUUGGCUAACUUA